Molecule: ribosomal RNA, 447 nt
Filed under: uncultured bacterium
Lineage: Bacteria
Description: bacterial SSU rRNA
Rfam family: Bacterial small subunit ribosomal RNA
Source: RNAcentral
UCCAGACUCCUACGGGAGGCAGCAGUGGGGAAUAUUGCACAAUGGGGGGAACCCUGAUGCAGCGACGCCGCGUGAGUGAAGAAGUAUUUCGGUAUGUAAAGCUCUAUCAGCAGGGAAGAAAAUGACGGUACCUGACUAAGAAGCCCCGGCUAACUACGUGCCAGCAGCCGCGGUAAUACGUAGGGGGCAAGCGUUAUCCGGAUUUACUGGGUGUAAAGGGAGCGCAGACGGCUGUGCAAGUCUGGAGUGAAAGGCGGGGGCCCAACCCCCGGACUGCUCUGGAAACUGUAAAGCUGGAGUGCAGGAGAGGUAAGCGGAAUUCCUAGUGUAGCGGUGAAAUGCGUAGAUAUUAGGAGGAACACCAGUGGCGAAGGCGGCUUUCUGGCUCAUAACUGACGCUGAGGCGCGAAAGCGUGGGGAGCAAACAGGAUUAGAUACCCGAGUACG